This 180-nucleotide ribosomal RNA is filed under the name Triticum aestivum (bread wheat). RNAcentral's name for it is "partial small subunit ribosomal RNA". Lineage: Eukaryota; Viridiplantae; Streptophyta; Magnoliopsida; Poales; Poaceae. The record is from RNAcentral.
AAGGGACUUGCUUCCCUUGUGAUGCUUACAUCGUGGGAGAUUUGGAGUGAGAGAAAUGCCCGGGUUUUUAGAAAUUGUUCAUCCAUGCGGGACACCAUCUUUGGUAAGAUCAAAAGAGAGGUUGUUUUGGCAGAAAAGGUAGGGGCCAAACGCUUAUGAUCUUUGAUGCCACCAGAGUAG